This 492-nucleotide ribosomal RNA is filed under the name uncultured bacterium. RNAcentral's name for it is "partial 16S ribosomal RNA". It matches the Rfam family "Bacterial small subunit ribosomal RNA", at positions 29 to 507 of the family's 1533-position model. The record is from RNAcentral.
AGUGAACGCUGGCGGUAGGCCUAACACAUGCAAGUCGAACGGCAGCACAGUAAGAGCUUGCUCUUACGGGUGGCGAGUGGCGGACGGGUGAGGAAUACAUCGGAAUCUACUUUUUCGUGGGUGAUAACGUAGGGAAACUUACGCUAAUACCGCAUACGACCUACGGGUGAAAGCAUGGGAUCUUCGGACCUCGCGCGAUUGAAUGAGCCGAUGUCGGAUUAGCUAGUUGGGGGGGUAAAGGCCCACCAAGGCGACGAUCCGUAGCUGGUCUGAGAGGAUGAUCAGCCACACUGGAACUGAGACACGGUCCAGACUCCUACGGGAGGCAGCAGUGGGGAAUAUUGGACAAUGGGCGCAAGCCUGAUCCAGCCAUGCCGCGUGGGUGAAGAAGGCCUUCGGGUUGUAAAGCCCUUUUGUUGGGAAAGAAGAGCAGCAGGUUAAUACCCCGCUGUUCUGACGGUACCCAAAGAAUAAGCACCGGCUAACUUCGUG